CGUGGGGGGCAGGAGAGUGUCAGCGCACCCACAUGAGGAACAGGAUACCACUAUCGGGCUAAUUAGGAGAUGAUCAUACAGUAACGAUUACACAGUGAUGUGGGGGGAAUCGAGAACCAGCGGGGAAUGCCAGCAAAACCACAGAGCUCAUUUUCCACGGCUUGUGCAGAGACACGCCCACUCUUAAUCACGAGCGGUAGCAACAUUUCAUCAUUAGGUGAUGCCUCAUUCCCACAAAGCUCUCAGAGAGUAAGCUUGCAAGAUAAGUCACAAGGAGCUCAGGUUCAUCGGCGAGGCAUCCAGGACUCAUUUUCCUUCCCUUUCCUUCGAGACGGCACACCUGGGACCACUGGCCUCUGCACUGGACCCUCAACACAAGUUCUGUCCUGCUCCAUUUAAUGGCAUUCCAGAGGCCCAUCUGAUGAUAAGGUGUUGCCCUGGAGAGAGCGGCCAAAGGGCCCCGGUGUGUCUUGUGCAGGUAUCAGUGUCACCGUUCUGACUCUCACAUCUGGCAGCUGUGCACACACGUACACUCUCUCUCUCUCUCUCUCUCUCUUUUCACACAUACACACACUUAUAGUUUCAAAGCACUCCCUGCAGAGAAACUUGCAGAGGUGAGAACAGACACAGAGCACCUUGACAAAGCUGCCAUAGCGCUGGGCUAGAUGCUUUCUGUUCCUUCUGUCUCGCUCCGCCUCUCAUGCUGUCAGUCUCCGUCUUUAGCACUCACCCGUCAGUCAGGCCCUGUUCAGACCUGCCAUUAACAUCCGUCUUGUGUGAUUUUUAUCACAGCUGGGUGCGGCCCACACGCACUGAGGACUCAGUGACAACCCAUCAGGAAUUCAGUGCAAUAUCUGAAUGGAAAUAUAAAUAUACAAAUCAGACCAAAGAUUUGGACACACCUUCAAUGUGUUUUCUUUAUUUUCAUGACCAUUUACAUUGGUAGAUUCUCACUGAAGGCACCAAAACUAUGAAUGAACACAUGUGGAGUUAUGUACUUAACAAAAAAAGGUGAAACAGCUGAAAACAUGUUUUAUAUUCUAGUUUCUUCAAAAUAGCCACCCUUUGCUCUGAUUACUGCUUUGCACACUCUUGGCAUUCUCUCGAUGAGCUUCAAGAGGUCGUCACCUGAAAUGGUUUUCCAACAGUCUUGAAGGAGUUCCCAGAGGUGUUCAGCACUUGUUGGCCCCUUUGCCUUCACUCUGCGGUUCAGCUCACCCCAAACCAUCUGGAUUGGGUUCAGGUCCGGUGACUGUGGAGGCCAGGUCUCCACUUUUUGAUAAGUACAUAACUCCACAUGUGUUCAUUCAUAGUUUUGAUGCCUUCAGUGAGAAUCUACCAACGUAAAUGGUCAUGAAAAUAACACAUUGAAUGAGAAGGUGUGUCCAAACAUUUGGCCUGUACUGUAUGUGUAUGUGUGUGUAUAUAUGUAUAUAUAAUUCUUUUUUUUGUAGUUCAUAGACACAAAAGACCUGUUUUUUUGUUUCAGUGUGAAAUCAUUUUAUAACAUUCCAGUUAGCUGGGGCACUUUAAAAGUUAUGGGGUAGUGGGACUUGAACCUUUGACUUUGUGGUUAUCUGGUUCAUAGGUAAGACUUACUUGCUAGGCUAGAAACAGUCCCACAUGUUUUUUUUUUGUUGUUUUUUUUUUUUGGAGGGGGGGCACAUUGUUAUUUGGGCAGAGAAAGGAGAUCUGAGCCUAAGUGAGACUCAUUAUAAUGCCAGGUCUUAAUUGACCCAAGGCGGAUGUUAUUGGAAAGUCUGAAAAGGGCCUCACUCUCCCAGUUCUCCCUUCUGUUCUUCCUGCUGCGACUGUCUGUCUCGCCACCACACCCCUUCACUGGAGACCAGCUGAGGAGUGGUGGAUGCCAUGCAGAACAAAUGGGCCUGCCAAAGGGAAGCAGAGGCCCGGGAAAAGGUGAGGUGGGAGAAGGUGAGGUGUCAUGUGGGAUGUGAUAGAGUGGAGUCUUGAUGGUGACAGGGGGUGUAGCAUAUUAAUGUGUCACAACUGUUGAGAUCCAGUGCAUCAUUAAAAAAUGCCAUUUAUUGCAUGUAUUUUAACUAACUAGCUAAAUAAAAAAAAAAAACAUUUUAGUUAGAGUUGCUUAAUUUUUGUUGUACUGUUUUCUUUUAAUCUGGCCUUCUUUAAUAUUUUUUUUUUUUUUCAGAAAUGUAUCAUUUUUCUUUUGUGUAUCAUGCAUUUUCUUUUUUUUGCAAACAGAAUAAAAAGCAAAAAAAUAUGCACUCACAUGCAGGACAAUAGGGAAUUAAUUAAUUUAAAAAAUAUUAAUUUACCUUUCUUCAAAUGUGUUCAUUUUUUUUUCAUUGCGUUCAGUUGUGUUUUAAUUGUGUUGCCUUCAUGUGACCAUGAAAAAAAUAUUUGAAUACCUGUAUUAAAGGAGAAAUACAAGAACUUGACAUUGUGUGCAGGAAAAGAUUUGUCCAUAUCACGUUAGCAGAAUAUCGCACCAUAGUUAACUAGCAGCAAGAAAGUCAGCUGGAUCAAGGUCAUACAAGAUUAACAAAAAUCUGCAAGUUAUUCAAAACCCAGUGAAAUGUCCUCCACUGUGAUUCACCAGCUACUCAAAAUCUUAAUUUUCAAUUUUUGAUAAAUUCUUGUUUUUUAUUUUUUUGUUUUUGUGGCAAACAUAACAAAGCAAUUCAAUUUCUUUCCAUAAUUUGCAUUUUACAUCUGAUACCAAGCACCGUAUUCAUGAAGAACAACACAAGCAGUUUGUGAAAAAAACGCAUCUGAGAGGAGGUCAGAAUUCUUUUAUUUUUUUUAUUUUGGAGAAUUGCGAUACCAUCACCUCGCCUUUGUAGCGGUGACCUACUUUAGCUGUAAUUAUUUCCAGAACUGUUCUAUUCCUAUCACAGCUUCCCAUGUGAAAUCAAAAUAUUUGAUUUUUCCUUCAUGGGUGAAAUAUGAUUUUUUUUAAGAAGGUUAAAAUACAGCUAUAGUCUGAUGAGGAUCUUCAAACAAUCUCUGAACAUCUAAGCCUGGGUAGAUAAAGCAUGAGUACAGAUACAAUGAUUAUCAAGAACAGAAGUUAAUCGCAAUGUCAGUUUCAUCUCCUUUCAGGGCUAUUUUUAUUCAUGAUGACAAGCAUAAAGCACCUUUUUCCCCAGACACCAAAACUAUUUUAAACAUCACAUUUCUACAUUCAUUUAAUUUUUCAAAUAAAUGUCCAGGCCAUACUUGAUGUUUUGUGUCCAGAGUGUAAGAAUGUGAAGUAGAUGGAUUCAUGUGCGGAUCAAGGGUCGUAAUUCAUAGCUGCAGACCUGGGGUGUGGUACAGUGGGUGCAGGGUGCACGGGUGGAGCUCCAAGGAUCAAGCUCCGCAACCCUGUUGACUUCUCCAGAUGUCAGUCACUUGGUACGUGGGAGUUAGCAAUUGUCUCACUGGCUACUUGCAGAAAAUUGCAUAAAUUUGGAAUUGGUUUUAGAUUAAGAUUAGGUACAGCAAUACACAAGGGGCACACAUACACUCAAUAAGCAUUAAACACAAGAGACACACACUGUUAACUUUGUUUAUUUCACCUCUUGAUUGUGUGUGUGUGUUGUGUAUCUGCGUAUGUGUCCAUGUUUUAGUGUGUACCUCUGAUUUUUGGCCUCGUCUUUAAAAAUGAUGUUUUUGGCUACAUUUAACACAGAAUUACCAUAAAUUCAAAGCUAAAGUAUUAUUCUGCUUUUAUUUAUAGACAUGGUCAAUAUCCCAAAAAGUGAAAAAGAAUACUCGAAAUGAAUGUAAGAUAAGGCUUUCUGUCACACUGAAUGCCCCUGCGAUGUUGGCGACCUAUAAGGCUCUCUUCUGAGCUGCAGAAAAAGAAAAACUACACAGGAAAAACUGAGCAGAUGGGUACCACACCUUCAGAGAAAAAAAACGUUUAUAUGUAUAUAUAGAUAGAUUUUAUAUUCAUAUAGAUUUAUAUUUAUUCCGAAGCUUUUAAAAUAGUACAGUAAACACUGUUUAACACACAUGAUAUAAACUACGGGAUGUUGUAUUUUUUUUUUUAACAAUGCAGGUCAAUAAUGUCCUGACCCACUACAAAGAACAAAAAUGUAAUUUGGAAAAAUAAAAUAAUAAAAAAAAAUCUCCUCAUCUCAGUCUUUUCUUUCUUUUCUUUUCUUUUUUUUUGUAUAAAGUUGGGGAAACACCUGACCACACACACAGAGUAGAAAACAGUCAAGUCUAAAAGAGUGCUAUUGCAUUUAUAAUGCACAAAGUUUUUUCCUGUACAAUUGGCUUCUCGGUGCGUAUACAAACAACUAAAGGGCUCAGUGAAUAUUUCCGUAUUUUGUGGUCUUCUUUUUCUUCCUCUUUUUUUUUUUUUUUAUAAGAUGUACAGUAGCACUGUAAACAGGCACACACAGAUGUGAGAGGAACAACCUUCCCACUCAUUUAACUUCCCAGUCCUCCUCCUGCUCCCUCCAUCCACCACGCCGGGGCAUGUCUUCAUUCUCCUGUUCAUUCUCCUGAUUCACCCGUCCUGUGUUCAACUGUCUCAGUCCGGCUGAGAUGCGUUCAGUCUGUUUUAAUUCCGGCUGUCUUCCUCCUCCUUUGUCCGAGUCCAUCUCUCCACCCCUCACCCCUGUAAUAAUGUCCUGGGGCUCGGGCGCAUCCACGGACGGCUAAGAAAAAAAUGGAGUUGAAAACUUGCUCUUCCUUUUUGUCACUUGUGACUGAUUGUGCAAAAAAAUAAAUGAACACAAGAAGGAGAGUAAAAGGAUAAGAGUCCUUCAUGCGGUCUCAG
Molecule: long non-coding RNA, 4753 nt
Organism: Denticeps clupeoides (denticle herring)
Lineage: Eukaryota; Metazoa; Chordata; Actinopteri; Clupeiformes; Denticipitidae
Source: Ensembl